This is a small nuclear RNA of Callithrix jacchus (white-tufted-ear marmoset), 124 nucleotides long. Its record names the gene U4. It matches the Rfam family "U4 spliceosomal RNA". Rfam says of the family: U4 small nuclear RNA (U4 snRNA) is a component of the major U2-dependent spliceosome. The structure of U4 snRNA from yeast and human has been reported. Lineage: Eukaryota; Metazoa; Chordata; Mammalia; Primates; Cebidae. The record is from Ensembl.
AGCUUUGCGCAGUGGCAGUAUCGUAGCCAAUGAGGUUUAUCCGAGGCGCGAUUAUUGCUAUUGAGAAAAAAGUUUAAAAAAUUUUUUAAAUUAAAAAAAAAAACUAUGGCCGGGCAUGGUGGCU